Molecule: ribosomal RNA, 447 nt
Filed under: uncultured bacterium
Lineage: Bacteria
Description: partial 16S ribosomal RNA
Rfam family: Bacterial small subunit ribosomal RNA
Source: RNAcentral
AGCGAACGCUGGCGGCAGGCUUAACACAUGCAAGUCGAACGCCCCGCAAGGGGAGUGGCAGACGGGUGAGUAACACGUGGGAACGUAACCUUUGGUUCGGAAUAACUUGGGGAAACUCAAGCUAAUACCGGAUAAGCCCUUAUGGGGAAAGGUUUACUGCCGAAGGAUCGGCCCGCGUCUGAUUAGCUAGUUGGUGAGGUAAUGGCUCACCAAGGCGACGAUCAGUAGCUGGUCUGAGAGGAUGAUCAGCCACACUGGGACUGAGACACGGCCCAGACUCCUACGGGAGGCAGCAGUGGGGAAUAUUGGACAAUGGGGGCAACCCUGAUCCAGCCAUGCCGCGUGAGUGAUGAAGGCCUUAGGGUUGUAAAGCUCCUUUACCUGGGACGAUAAUGACUGUACCGGGAGAAUAAGCCCCGGCUAACUUCGUGCCAGCCGCCGCCGUAA